Molecule: ribosomal RNA, 301 nt
Filed under: uncultured bacterium
Lineage: Bacteria
Description: partial 16S ribosomal RNA
Rfam family: Bacterial small subunit ribosomal RNA
Source: RNAcentral
CAGCAGCCGCGGUAAAACGAACCAUGCGAACGUUAUUCGGAAUUACUGGACUUAAAGCGCGUGUAGGCGGGCCGCCACGUCGGUUGCUGAAAUCCCCCGGCUCAACCGGGGAAGUGGCAUCGAUACGAGCGGCCUUGAGGGGGGUAGGGGGAUCUGGAACUUCCGGUGGAGCGGUGAAAUGCGUUGAGAUCGGAAGGAACGCCCGUGGCGAAAGCGAGGUCCUGGACCCUUUCUGACGCUGAGACGCGAAAGCUAGGGGAGCGAACGGGAUUAGAUACCCGCGUAGUCCCUGUCUCUUAUA